CAGGCUCAGCUUUCUCAUCACUAAAUUGGAGAUACAGGAGUUGGAGACUUGGAAUCCCCUUUGGUGCAGAAACUAUUCCUUCAUGAGAAGUCCUUAAAUAGGCUCUUUAGAGAAGAGGCCACAUUUUGAAGGCAGCAGGGUCACAAGAUGGAAGAACCAGGGUCCUUGCAUCAUCGGUUGGCUUCAAGUUGCCAGGGGCAGCCUAACCCACAUGGAAUUGUGACAUAAGAAACAAAGCAACUAUUGUUUUAUUAAAUCAAUGAGAUAUUGGGCUUCUUGUUAUAGCAACUAGUAUAAAUUGCCCUGACUGAUACAUUAUGGAUUUAGAAUGCACUGUACUACAACUGUUUAUUGUAUUUUCAAAAACAGGUUUAUUGUGGUAUAAUUGACUUACAAUAAACUUCAUAUAUUUAAAGAGU
This is a long non-coding RNA of Mandrillus leucophaeus (drill), 419 nucleotides long. RefSeq lists it as uncharacterized. The record is from RefSeq and is a predicted model, not a curated record. The transcript has 3 exons. Lineage: Eukaryota; Metazoa; Chordata; Mammalia; Primates; Cercopithecidae.